AGACAACUUCCCCAGGCAACAAAUCUGUGCCCUGCAGUGUUCAAGGCUCUGGGUGUAGCAGUGAGUGAAGUAGCCCCUGCCCUGAAGGAGCAGGCAUCCAAGUGGUGAAGAGGAAGGCAGAUGAUGGUUCCAUAAACCAGGCAGGAGAGCCAUGGAGGUAGGAAGGGUGCGGUGGGGGAAGAGUAGAGAGCCUCUCUACCUAGGGGCCAGGAAAACCCCACCACCUAUAAGGCAACUGCUAACCCUUAGCCAGUUGGCAUCUGGAAGAAAGCUUGCCGAGCAGAGGGUUUGAGAAGAGAACAAAGAGGGCAGCGCUACAGACACGGACUUGGAAAGACUGACGUUGACAGAUCUGACAGAGGCCAUGGGCUCCACGGUUUGCCAGCGUGUGCCUGAAGGUAAUGGUUAGGGAAGAGCCCUAGACGUCUCUGGGGCGUGGGGAGCAAUCCGAGACGAAGCCCCACUAUGCGCAUGAGCUGUCCACUCCCUGCUUGGCUCCCAUCCUCCUACACCCUUUUUACAUCUCAUCAUCUUCAACAGAACCCAGCCCCUCCCCAUGCUCUGCCUGGAGCCAAGCUAACGACUGCUGCUCACGGGACAGUGUCUAGACCUAUUGUUUCAUCGCACUGACACGGAGAGUAUCUGUUGCUCAGGUUAUCAAAAUGACCUUCCCUCUUGGCCUCCUCUGUUUGCAGAGACUGUGGCGCUAGUGGGAACAAGGUGGCCAGGGCUGAGUGGAGGUUUGAGAGGCAAGCCAGGGUCGCCACCUGCUGGUUGGAUGUGGCAAUGGCUGCCAGCAACAAGAGCUGGCUGUACACUGAUUGUCUGGGUUUGUUAGGGGUCCUCCUGGUACCAGUGGAAGGGGGUAAAUGGUUUUUAUCUGUAUAUUUCCUCCACUUCUAGCAAGUAGCCUCCCAUUUCUCUACAGUCAUCCCUCUGACUCCCUAAGGGAGAGACUAUUUUUGCUGGUUCUGGAACUUCAAACAUGGAGAAUCUCGUGUUGUAUGUCUUUCAUAUCCAGUAUGGUGUUUCUGCUCACAGUUUCUGUCUCUACCUUUUAGUGGAGUUUAUCAACAAUUUUAUUUCUUGUGAUAUUAGGAAUACAACACAGAUGUGUACUUUGUUACCUGUUGGAAAACACUGGGGUGGACUGAGUGUGGGAAUAUAACAAGAUCGACACAUUGUGGCCAUUUCUGUAACAGUCAUUUUUUUUAAAUUAAAUUUACUCACUUUGCAUC
RNAcentral lists this long non-coding RNA (1238 nucleotides) under Mus musculus (house mouse). Its description in RNAcentral is "predicted gene, 19277". Lineage: Eukaryota; Metazoa; Chordata; Mammalia; Rodentia; Muridae. The record is from RNAcentral.